This 335-nucleotide ribosomal RNA is filed under the name uncultured bacterium. RNAcentral describes it as "bacterial SSU rRNA". It matches the Rfam family "Bacterial small subunit ribosomal RNA", at positions 158 to 507 of the family's 1533-position model. The record is from RNAcentral.
UGGGUCUAAUACCGGAUAGGACCAUGGACUUCACGGUUUGUGGUGGAAAGCUUUUGCGGUGUGGGAUGGGCCCGCGGCCUAUCAGCUUGUUGGUGGGGUAAUGGCCUACCAAGGCGACGACGGGUAGCCGGCCUGAGAGGGUGUCCGGCCACACUGGGACUGAGAUACGGCCCAGACUCCUACGGGAGGCAGCAGUGGGGAAUAUUGCACAAUGGGCGCAAGCCUGAUGCAGCGACGCCGCGUGAGGGAUGACGGCCUUCGGGUUGUAAACCUCUUUCAAUAGGGACGAAGCGCAAGUGACGGUACCUAUAGAAGAAGCACCGGCCAACUACGUG